This is an RNA transcript of Hyaena hyaena (striped hyena), 1463 nucleotides long. It is a transcript of the gene named coiled-coil domain containing 163, with no coding region annotated. The record is from RefSeq and is a predicted model, not a curated record. Lineage: Eukaryota; Metazoa; Chordata; Mammalia; Carnivora; Hyaenidae. The transcript has 9 exons.
UGGCGCUGCGGCAGCCAGUCCGAGGUCAGAUGGACUCGGCCGGCCUUCAGGAGGGUUUGAAAGGGGCCGCGGCACUAGUCGCUGGUACAGGUUCCGAGUGAUGAUACCUGUGUCUUGGGUCUGGGGAGGUUUCGACCAAGAUUGGGCACUCUCAAUUCCCACUUGAUAUCUGAGUAUCAGAGUAUCCCGCGUUCCCCCUAGAUUCUCCAAACGCCGCUCCCCUGACCAGUUCCAGUUUGGCUUGAUACUCCAUCCCUACCUUUACUAUUACAUCCCCACUCCCCACUUUCGAUCUGAAGUGUGGCUUUACUGGGCUGUGCCUCUGUUGUCCUGGGCUUGGAGAGCAAAGGCACAAGACGUCAGGGAGCCUUGGGGAAGGUUAUGAGUAGGAGUCUGAGCUGGACUGAGCAUCUCGACGGGCUUCUCAAUGCUACGGAUGGAAAUGUGGCCAGGAUUAAGCAGCGGCUGUAUCCUCUUGGAGUCUCCACAGCUGCAGGAGAUUUGGCUGGGACCUGGAUUUCCCCUCAUCACUUGCCUCCCCAGUCUGGAGUCCAAGCUCAACAACGUUGGGCUCUAGAGGCUCCCUGUCACCCAGAGAGGCUGAGUUGUAGUAAGGCCCAUGGCACAUCUUUUUUCUGGGAUGAAAUCACUAUUCUCCAAUCCCAGCUUCAAUACCAGGCUCAGAUGACUGAGACACUAAGGCAGGCUGUGCAGGGGCUGCUGGAAGAGCAAGAGCAGCAGAAGUACAAGAUCUGUGCUCUGGAAGUUUGUCCCACUACAGCAUCACUAAGGUUGCUGCAGGGGGGCCCAGAGCAGAGGGUCCUUCUCCUGGAGCAACGCCUGGAGGCGCUGAGAAGGGAACUGCAGGGCCUUCGAAGCCAAGUGCAGGAACAGGCCCAAGCCCAAACACAAACAGGACCACGAAAGUGCAGUGCUACUGGUGGCCUUCACCAAGAGCUGCAGAAUGAAAUGACACUACCUCCAUCUGUCCAGGCGUCAGCUCCUGUGGGAGGAAUCAGAGAUCCUUCGGGAAGAAUUGAAGUUGCUGCGGGACCAGCUGAGCCAGCACCAGGAGCUGCUGCUGAAACAGAUGGCUGAAGGGCAGCAAGCUCAGGUCCACAGCUGGAAGCUCUGAAGUCAGUCUUCUUCUGGACAGCAACAGUAGCUGGGAACUUCUAAGGAAACUAGGUGGCGAUCUCCAGAAGAGCAUACUUUCUGACCUAGAGCCCAGAAGCUUUCAGCUUUAGGGCCAGAGCCUUGAGCAGGAGAACCUAUUCUUUAAGAGCCCCACAAUGUUCCUGAGUGACCUGUAAGGACUUGUAAGAGUAGCUUUGCUCACCUUCCUCACCAAGGCCCUGUUUCUGGGUCCCUUCCCCCUUUUCUCUUGAUCUUGCUGGUAUCUGCCCUCCUUACUGAGGCUCAUCACUGCCUGCCCACCAAUUGCAAUAAAUGUUUUAACUCUU